Molecule: ribosomal RNA, 440 nt
Filed under: uncultured bacterium
Lineage: Bacteria
Description: partial 16S ribosomal RNA
Rfam family: Bacterial small subunit ribosomal RNA
Source: RNAcentral
CCUACGGGUGGCAGCAGUGGGGAAUAUUGCACAAUGGGGGAAACCCUGAUGCAGCGACGCCGCGUGAGUGAAGAAGUAAUUCGGUAUGUAAAGCUCUAUCAGCAGGGAAGAAAAUGACGGUACCUGAGUAAGAAGCCCCGGCUAACUACGUGCCAGCAGCCGCGGUAUUACGUAGGGGGCAAGCGUUAUCCGGAUUUACUGGGUGUAUAGGGAGCGUAGACGGCAGUGCAAGUCUGGAGUGAAAGGCGGGGGCUCAACCCCCGGACUGCUCUGGAAACUGUACGGCUGGAGUGCAGGAGAGGUAAGCGGAAUUCCUAGUGUAGCGGUGAAAUGCGUAGAUAUUAGGAGGAACACCAGUGGCGAAGGCGGCUUACUGGACUGUAACUGACGUUGAGGCUCGAAAGCGUGGGGAGCAAACAGGAUUAGAUACCCUUGUAGUC